This is a ribosomal RNA of Pteropus vampyrus (large flying fox), 119 nucleotides long. NCBI's taxonomy places the organism in Eukaryota, Metazoa, Chordata, Mammalia, Chiroptera, Pteropodidae. The record is from Ensembl.
GUCUAUGACCAUGCCACCCUGAGCACACCCAAUCGCAUCUGAUCUCGGAAGCUAAGCAGGGUCGGGCCUGGUUAGUACUUGGAUAGGAGACCACCCAGGAAGACUGGAUGCUGUAGGCA